RNAcentral lists this ribosomal RNA (620 nucleotides) under uncultured Actinomycetes bacterium. RNAcentral describes it as "bacterial SSU rRNA". It matches the Rfam family "Bacterial small subunit ribosomal RNA", at positions 556 to 1177 of the family's 1533-position model. Lineage: Bacteria; Bacillati; Actinomycetota; Actinomycetes. The record is from RNAcentral.
GGGCGUAAAGAGCUCGUAGGUGGUUCGUUACGUCGGACGUGAAAAUCUGGGGCUCAACCCCAGACCUGCAUUCGAUACGGGCGAACUAGAGUGUGGUAGGGGAGACUGGAAUUCCUGGUGUAGCGGUGGAAUGCGCAGAUAUCAGGAGGAACACCAAUGGCGAAGGCAGGUCUCUGGGCCAUUACUGACACUGAGGAGCGAAAGCGUGGGGAGCGAACAGGAUUAGAUACCCUGGUAGUCCACGCCGUAAACGGUGGGCACUAGUUGUGGGAACCUUCCACGGUUUCUGCGACGCAGCUAACGCAUUAAGUGCCCCGCCUGGGGAGUACGAUCGCAAGAUUAAAACUCAAAGGAAUUGACGGGGCCCCGCACAAGCAGCGGAGCAUGCGGCUUAAUUCGACGCAACGCGAAGAACCUUACCAAGGCUUGACAUAUACCGGAAUAUGGCAGAAAUGUCAUAGCUGUAAAAGGUCGGUAUACAGGUGGUGCAUGGUUGUCGUCAGCUCGUGUCGUGAGAUGUUGGGUUAAGUCCCGCAACGAGCGCAACCCUCGUUCUGUGUUGCCAGCAUUUAGUUGGGGACUCACAGGAGACUGCCGGGGUCAACUCGGAGGAAGGUAAU